GCUUGUCUCAAAGAUUAAGCCAUGCAUGUCUAAGUGUAAAUACGUCUACACUGUGAAACUGCGAAUGGCUCAUUAAAUCAGUUAUCGUUUAUUUGAUGAUCUCUUGUUACAUGGAUAACCGUAGUAAUUCUAGAGCUAAUACAUGCGUAAAGCGGAAACUCACGAAUCCGCGUAUUUAUUAGAUACAAUCAGCCCUUCGGGUUUUUGAUGAAUCAUAAUAACUGAGCGAACCGCAUGCGCAAGCGGCGGUGGUUCAUUCAAGUUUCUGCCCUAUCAGCUUUCGAUGGUAGGGUAUUGGCCUACCAUGGCGUUAACGGGUAACGGAGAAUUAGGGUUCGAUUCCGGAGAGGGAGCCUGAGAAAUGGCUACCACAUCCAAGGAAGGCAGCAGG
This 391-nucleotide ribosomal RNA is filed under the name uncultured Bicosoecida. RNAcentral describes it as "partial small subunit ribosomal RNA". It matches the Rfam family "Eukaryotic small subunit ribosomal RNA", at positions 30 to 432 of the family's 1831-position model. The record is from RNAcentral. Lineage: Eukaryota; Bigyra; Bicosoecida.